Molecule: ribosomal RNA, 1223 nt
Filed under: metagenome
Description: bacterial LSU rRNA
Rfam family: Bacterial large subunit ribosomal RNA
Source: RNAcentral
CAUGGCACCGUAACUUCGGGAGAAGGUGCGCCUCUUGGUGUGGUCACGUGCGUGACUGAGCAUCGAGGGGUCGCAGUAACCUGGCCGCUGCGACUGUUUAUCAAAAACACAGCACUCUGCAAACACGAAAGUGGACGUAUAGGGUGUGACGCCUGCCCGGUGCUGGAAGGUUAAUUGAUGGGGUCAGCCGCAAGGCGAAGCUCUUGAUCGAAGCCCCAGUAAACGGCGGCCGUAACUAUAACGGUCCUAAGGUAGCGAAAUUCCUUGUCGGGUAAGUUCCGACCUGCACGAAUGGCGUAACGACAGCGGCGCUGUCUCCACCCGAGACUCAGUGAAAUUGAAAUCGCUGUGAAGAUGCAGCGUUCCCGCGGCAAGACGGAAAGACCCCGUGAACCUUUACUAUAGCUUUACACUGAACGUUGAGUUCUUCUGUGUAGGAUAGGUGGGAGGCUAUGAAACCAGGACGCUAGUUCUGGUGGAGCCAUCCUUGAAAUACCACCCUGAAGUGCUUGACGUUCUAACCUAGGUCCGUAAUCCGGAUCGGGGACCGUGUAUGGUGGGUAGUUUGACUGGGGCGGUCUCCUCCCAAAGAGUAACGGAGGAGCACGAAGGUACGCUCAGCGCGGUCGGACAUCGCGCACUGUGUGCAAAGGCAUAAGCGUGCUUGACUGCGAGAUCGACGGAUCAAGCAGGUACGAAAGUAGGUCUUAGUGAUCCGGUGGUUCUGUAUGGAAGGGCCAUCGCUCAACGGAUAAAAGGUACUCCGGGGAUAACAGGCUGAUACCGCCCAAGAGUUCAUAUCGACGGCGGUGUUUGGCACCUCGAUGUCGGCUCAUCACAUCCUGGGGCUGUAGCCGGUCCCAAGGGUAUGGCUGUUCGCCAUUUAAAGUGGUACGCGAGCUGGGUUCAGAACGUCGUGAGACAGUUCGGUCCCUAUCUGUCGUGGGCGUUGGAGAUUUGAGGGGGGCUGCUCCUAGUACGAGAGGACCGGAGUGGACGUUCCGCUGGUGUUCGGGUUGUCAUGCCCACGGCAUUGCCCGGUAGCUACGAACGGAAGUGAUAACCGCUGAAAGCAUCUAAGCGGGAAGCACGCCCCAAGAUGAGAUCUCCCGAGAGCUUGACUCUCCUAAAGGCACCAUCAAGACUAGGUGGUUGAUAGGCACGGUGUGGAAGUGCAGCAAUGCAUUGAGCUUACGUGUACUAAUGAGCCGUGAGGCUUGAUC